Long non-coding RNA from Leopardus geoffroyi (Geoffroy's cat), 3297 nucleotides. RefSeq lists it as uncharacterized. The transcript has 4 exons. NCBI's taxonomy places the organism in Eukaryota, Metazoa, Chordata, Mammalia, Carnivora, Felidae. The record is from RefSeq and is a predicted model, not a curated record.
AUGGGUCAAGUGCAGACAGCCGUAGUGUAUAGACAGACGGACAGGCAGUCAGGCCCACUGGUGUGAAAUGCUAGAGCGUUACUGCCUGGGGACCCAACAGGCUGUGGGCCAAAUUGGGAAGAGGAGUAUCCUGGCUCACUUGUGUUUCUUCCCUGUGGUUGGCAUUUCUGGCUGCUCGGUCUUUGCUUUCGUCGCUCAAGAGCAUGAAACCCUGGCUCCCACCUCGUUCGUCUUCACCCCACAUUCCUUAGGAUUGGAAAGACACGGACCCUCCCGCAGACUCACUGCUAUGGUUGUUACAGUGAUAACUGACUUAUCAGCGAGCGUGUGGAUAAUGUGGAACUCAAGAAACCAGAAGUACCGUGGCCCCAGUUUGUGGAAAUGUCCAGCUGGAACAGCAUGGUGCAGACAGACUUCCAGAAGCCACAGAGGACAGAUACACUCCCAGGAGACCUGAAGGACCCUAACAGAGUGCCUGAAGGCCAACAUCUCUCAACCAUAAGCCCCAAUCCAACCAUCAGAGGAACACAUCUGCUAGAAGGAGCACCGACCACCAGACGCUUUCUUUCUACCACACAAGAAAUGGCUUUUUCACUCAACAAAACAAUCUGGGACGGAGUUUCUACCGUUAACUGCGUCAUGCGACCCUGUCAUUGUUUCCACGUCUUAUCCCACCAAACCACUCAGGCCCCUCAAGGGCGCCGACUGUGGACUUGGUCCCUGUGUCCCUGGGUGUCCGCCCUCCCACCAACCCUGGAACGUGGAAAACCAGCCACACGCUCGGUCAGUGGGUAAACUUAAGUUGAAAACAAAGUAAGCUUAAAAUCUCUUUAAAAGAAAAAGUUGAAAACGUUUUGAGGUUUGUCUCAAAUGUGCAGAUCAGAAGCCAUCUCACGUCUGAGAACCUUCCUGUUCCGUCCUUUGUUUCCACUGGUUUAAGGCAAAGGAUGUGGAGAGUCCCUGUCUCUUGCCUUGAAUUUAUCUAUUUCAUUUCUAAUUAGAAUAUAGAGACUCACAAAGAUUGACAUUUCUCAGAAAUUCAAAGUAAGAACGUGUUUCAGAGGUCGCCCGGGCUCACUCCCAGCUGGGUCCCUGGGUAACACUUGAAUAAUUUCUACAAAAUAUGAAUCAGCCCCAGCUAUGGGCCUCUCUUCACACGCUUCUAUGCACCUCAUUUGGCAUUCAGGAAAAUUUGAAAUGAUUAGAAAGUUCUUAGCCAUCUUCAACCAGUUAUUUUGAUCUUUUUAACUCUUCCAGCGACUUAGAUACAGGCAUGAUCUUCAAGAUUUUUACUGAAGGCAUUUUCUUUUCUUUCUGGGUGAUUUGGGCAAGAACCUUUCACUUCCAACUUCUAUAUGCUGCACCCUCGGCGUUUGAAGCUCUCCAAACCUUAGUCAAGGCACGAAGCACAGACUUACCACCUCGUGUGGAAACGCGGGAGAUUCAACACAAGAGAACUGAGAUGUCAGAGAUGCAAGGUGGCCUUUUUGUAGGAGCUGGACCUCCAGAUGGCAUCGGAAUGUUGGAGCUUCAGUACUCUUACGAGGCACGGAGACUGAAAAGAAAGAUUUGAUUUUAAAUCCUGAAUACCCUGGCUUCCGACAGCCUUCCAAGUCUCGAUAAAGGAAUCGCCUGAGCAAGCAGGAGACAGAGAUGGGUGUUGGAGUGUCUUUCUCGGCAGACCACAGGCUGUGUCUGAACAAAUGCUCUGAUUUCAUGUAAACAAGUGGUUUAAUGGGCUUUAUGUUACUUUGUAUCACAAAUAGAAAGAAAUUCAGAGGGCAAAGAGGCACAAGAUAGCCUGUUAAAGACACUGUGUAAAUCAAUAUUCCCAUGAGACACCACUGAGUGCUUUUGAAUCAACAGCCAACGUGGACAGAAGGCCAAGAACUGUCGUCUGGUGGCUUCUAGGAGGAGUAGAAUCCUGAGAACCUCUGCCCCCUGCCCCUCAGCGUCUGAGGCACCGAGGACAACACUGGAAGGAAAGGGCUUCCCUCACGUGGAGAAGAGUCACAGCAAGCUCCAGCGGGCCUCAGGCCCCCUAAAGUCCCUCCAGCAACGACACAAGGUCAUUAGCCCACAUCCACGCAUCCUGCGCCUCAGAUUGAAGGGUCCUCCCACGGGGGCGGACACAGCUGUGGGCUGGCCCGAUGCUACCUAACACCGUGCUAUGGGGUAGAUGAAAAUAUUCGUGAGCCAUGGAUGGCAUAAACAUCUAAAGUUCAGUGUGUGGUAAGAACCCUUGCAAGCCAACAGUAAAAAGACAAGGGAAACCAUGCUCCCCAUCACUCUCAUUAGCAAAAUGGAAAUCAAAAUCACAAGAAGAUCCCACUUCACGUGCACUAGGACGGCUGUAUUAAAAAAGACAGGAAAUAAAUAACAAGCGUUGGCAAGGUUGCAGAGACGUUUUACCCCCGUGCGUUCCCAGUGGGGACAUAAAAUGGUCAGCCACUGGUGAAAACAGUUUGGGGUUCCUCACCACGUGACACAUAGGGUUACCACAUGACAUAGCCAGUCCUGUCCCAGCUACGUGUCCAAGGGAAUGGAAAACAUAUGUGCACACAAAAACUUGUACCUGAAUGUUCAUGGAAGCAUUAUCCGGAGUAUCCAAAGAGCAGGGGAAAAUCCGAAUGCCUGGCAACUGAUAAAUGGGUAAGCAAAAUGUGGUCUGUCCAGACAAUGGCGUCGGACUCAGCCCAAACAAGGAAGGAGCUGGGAGACUGCUGCAACAUGAUGUACCUCAGAAACCCUAUGCGGAGUGAAAAAAACCCCAAAAAACCCACCACAUGGAAGGUCACAUAUUGUAUGAUUGCAUUUGUAUGAGAUGCCCAGAAAGAGCCGACCUGUGGAGACAGAAGGUGGAUGAGUGAUUGCCAAGGAUGGAGAGAGGGGUAAUGGAAUAACUGACACCUGACAGGUGUGGACUCACUGUUUGUGAUGGUGGGAAAUUCUGGGUGUAGACAGCGGCGAGGGUGCACAGUGCUGUGGGCGCUAAAAACCCCUGAAUGACGAACUGUGUCUAUGUGUAGAUGCGGUUACGUGAAUUAUUUAUAAAAGAAAAAAUAGCAAAAAUAAAAGAAAGCAGGUAAGACGGGUAUGAGAUACUCUAUUGAAGCUCCUACAAAGUUUUCCUAAAAAGAAAUAUCAAGGUUUUACUCUAUAAACUACAUGGUGGAUAUUUGUACUUUGUGCUGAGAAUUUAAAUGUACUUAAUCACAUUGUUAGAUUUAAGACGAAAAUAAAUACGUAUUUUCCCAUAGAUGUGUCCUUGCAAAAAUAAACACAACGUAAUUUAAA